Molecule: ribosomal RNA, 462 nt
Filed under: uncultured bacterium
Lineage: Bacteria
Description: bacterial SSU rRNA
Rfam family: Bacterial small subunit ribosomal RNA
Source: RNAcentral
GACGAACGCUGGCGGCGUGGAUUAGGCAUGCAAGUCGAACGGUAUCAUCCGUUUCGGGGGUGAGAGAGUGGCGAACGGGUGAGUAACGCGUUGGUGAUCUGCCUCGAAGUGUGGAAUAACCUCCCGAAAGGGAAGCUAAUACCGCAUAGUCUCUCAAGGUUUAGAAAAUUGAGAGUAAAGGAUUUAUUCGCUUCGAGAGGAGCCUGCGUCCCAUCAGCUAGUUGGUAGGGUAACGGCCUACCAAGGCAAUGACGGGUAGGGGACCUGAGAGGGUGGCCCCCCACAAUGGAACUGAAACACGGUCCAUACACCUACGGGUGGCAGCAGUAGGGAAUAUUAGAAAUGGGCGGAAGCCUGAUCUAGCAACACCGCGUGUGCGAUGAGGGCCUUCGGGUCGUAAAGCACUUUUUGGAGGGAAUAGGAAGGAAGGUACCUCCAGAAUAAGUCUCGGCUAACUACGUG